UUUGAAAUCUGGCCCCCGCGGUCCGAGUUGUAAUUUGUAGAGGAUGCUUUUGGCGCGGUGCCUUCCGAGUUCCCUGGAACGGGACGCCACAGAGGGUGAGAGCCCCGUCUGGUUGGACACCAAGCCUCUGUAAAGCUCCUUCGACGAGUCGAGUAGUUUGGGAAUGCUGCUCAAAAUGGGAGGUAUAUGUCUUCUAAAGCUAAAUACCGGCCAGAGACCGAUAGCGCACAAGUAGAGUGAUCGAAAGAUGAAAAGCACUUUGAAAAGAGGGUUAAACAGUACGUGAAAUUGUUGAAAGGGAAGCGUUUGUGACCAGACUUGGGCCCGGUCAAUCACCCGGCGUUCUCGCCGGUGCACUUGGCCGGCCCAGGCCAGCAUCAGUUCGCCGCGGGGGAUAAAGGCGGCGGGAACGUAGCUCCUCGGAGUGUUAUAGCCCGCCGCGCAAUGCCCUGUGGGGGACUGAGGUCCGCGCAUCUGCAAGGAUGCUGGCAUAAUGGUCAUCAACGACCCGUCUUGAAACACGGACCAAGGAGUCGUCUUCGUAUGCGAGUGUUCGGGUGUCAAACCCCUACGCGGAAUGAAAGUGAACGCAGGUGAGAGCCUCACGGCGCAUCAUCGACCGAUCCUGAUGUUCUCGGAUGGAUUUGAGUAAGAGCAUACGGGGCCGGACCCGAAAGAAGGUGAACUAUGCCUGUAUAGGGUGAAGCCAGAGGAAACUCUGGUGGAGGCUCGCAGCGGUUCUGACGUGCAAAUCGAUCGUCAAAUAUGGGCA
This 772-nucleotide ribosomal RNA is filed under the name Thyronectria citri. Its description in RNAcentral is "Neothyronectria sp. QY-2019a partial large subunit ribosomal RNA". It matches the Rfam family "Eukaryotic large subunit ribosomal RNA", at positions 114 to 917 of the family's 3401-position model. The record is from RNAcentral. Lineage: Eukaryota; Fungi; Ascomycota; Sordariomycetes; Hypocreales; Nectriaceae.